AACACAAAAUGGCGACACGUGGUUAGCAUUCGUCGCCAACGAGAAAUUGGGGUCGGCCCGAAAGCUCUAGAAUGCACCCCUAUUCCUCCCCGGGGCCAUUCCCGCUCAACGAGUUUUAUGACCUAAAAAACCCCACAGGCUGGUCUGAAGGUCGGAGGCCUAAUUUUAACGCGUUUUCCUCCCUUUAAUUUGAAACGGGAACGCGAAUAACUAAAAUGUGGGCACAAUAUUUAACCUCUUGCUUUUUUAAAGCUUAAUAAUGGAUAGUAGGGGGCAGUAUCAAGGGAUAAUUUGGGUCCCCACAGUACCAAAGCAUUUAGAAACCUCUGCUUAAUUUAAGGAAUGAGAUAAAUUACUGCUUUUCUAGAUUUGGUAGCAUGGGCUGUUGUGCUGGAGAGAACGAGAGCUACGAAGAGACUAGAAUGCCUCUGACUUUUUCAUAGGACAGUUGGCCGAGGAAGACACUUAAAGAUGAAGUGCUUAAUUCAAGGUCACAGAAUGUCGGGGAUGGACCUCCAGAUUUCCUUACUGGUGAGACGUGGUCUUGUAACACAGUGGUUAAGAAUGUGACUUUGGAGCCAGCCUGCUAGGGGCUGAAUUCUGACUCAGCCAUUUAUUAACUGUGUGACCUUAGGCUGGCGUGCAAUGGCGUGAUCUCGGCUCACCACAACCUCUGCUUCCCGGGUUCAAGCGAUUCUCCUGCCUCAGCCUCCCGAGUACCUGGGACUACAGGCACUCGCCACCAUGCCCGGCUAAUUUUUGUAUUUUUAAUAGAGAUGGUUUCACUAUGUUGGGCAGGCUGGUCUCGAACUCCUGACCUUGUGAUCCGCCCACCUCAGCCUCGAAAAGUGCUGGGAUUACAGGCGUGAGCCACCGCGCCCAGCCUUGUAUUUUUUUUCAGUUUGGGUAGCUGUCCCAAAUUCAUUUGUUGAAGGAGAAGCAAGAGCAAGAGCCUUUAAUCUGUUCUCCUCUUCCCUAAUUUGAAAGUAGCUUGUUAUUUUGAAUAUCACUUCCUCAGAAAUAGCACAUCUCCAUCUCAGAGAAUGGAUUUAAUGUUUGGAUACAGCCAAAAGUCGUUUCAUUACCAAACCAUGGGGUGAAUAUACC
Molecule: non-coding RNA, 1107 nt
Filed under: Pongo abelii (Sumatran orangutan)
Lineage: Eukaryota; Metazoa; Chordata; Mammalia; Primates; Hominidae
Source: RNAcentral